RNAcentral lists this long non-coding RNA (2620 nucleotides) under Coffea arabica (coffee). RNAcentral's name for it is "long non-coding RNA (CARA_LNC001914)". The record is from RNAcentral. Lineage: Eukaryota; Viridiplantae; Streptophyta; Magnoliopsida; Gentianales; Rubiaceae.
AACUAGAUUCUAACCAACCUUGACUUGCUACUUGAAAGGUGAUUCUUGGAGUUCUUGGUACAACUUGCAAAGCUUGAGAGCUUGAGGUAAAUCUUAAAUCAUGAAUUUUAAUGCUUUAAAUUAGUAGGGUGUGCAUGUAAUUAAGGUGCUUAGAUAACCUAGAUACUUGGGUUGUUGAUGGCUUGGCUUGGGUUCUUGUUUUGAAGCUUGGAUCAUGUGUUUAUGUUUAUGCCUUCUAUGUGUUUGAUGUAUGGUUAGGUGUAUUAGGUGAGGAUUUCUUUAGAUUUUCUUGGUUGUGUUAGCAUGAGAAUCAUGGUUAAAGUAAGCUUAGUUAACUUGGUGCACAUGAAAUAAAAAUUGAACAUCCACGAGUUGGAAUUUAUGCUUGGGCUGGCCAAAUUUUUAGCUUCAAUUUUGUGAGGAUUUUUGUGUUGUUUUGAUGAGAUUUGUACUCAAGGAACUUGGUUUAACCUUACCCUAGAAGUGGAUGUUAUGUAUGUGUGUUUAAGUAGUAGUUUUGUUGGAGUAAAGUUAAGAAAAUAAGAGGAAGUGUUGUUGAAAAUUUUCGCACAGGAGACUAAGCAGUAUUGGUAAAUCUGUUAUAUCUUGGUUGCAACAAGAUUCAGAGUACAUUUUACCGUGAAAAUUUCAGAAUUUUUCUAAAUUCCUAUGAAUAUCUGUGAUUUUUCAAAGUUGACUGAAUUUCUAUUCCUAUUCUGUCUUUCUACUGGAUAAAGUAGCCAAUUGAGAUUGGAUUUUGACUAACUUGUGGAUAGAAUCUUGUAAAGGUGUCUUCUAAGAAAUUGUAACCCUUUGAAUCUAUUUUCCAACGGUAUAAAGUUUAUAAAUUUUGGACUUAAGAAGCUUGCGAUAUGAUUUUUCAAACAAUGUCAAGUAAAACUGGAGAAAAUUCUGUUUCCAAAUGUAUGCAUGCUGACCAAUUUUCUUGAGUUUAUUUCUCUUCACUUUUUUGUUUGUUUUGAUGAAAGUUUGGCUCAAUCUUGUGCUAUAAACUUAUUAGAACUCUUGUGGACUGAUUUGUAGUGAAAACCAUGCAUUUAAUUUGAAGAAACUUGAGUUUUGAUUGGCUUUUGAGUUGAAUUUCCUGAUUUCUGGGUAUGGAAUAGGGCUACUGUUUUGGCCUUGUUUCGCCAUCGAUUCGUGAUAGUUUGGACUUGAAAUAGCUUGUACUAUUUGCCAACACAUAAUACUAGAGUCAUGCUUCGAUUUGGUCGCAAACCGAUUACUCAAAGGGAGCGAAAAUUAGCUAUUUUUCACUACCAUAAAACUGAAAAAUUUCCAGUAUUUGUACCAUUUUCAUGUAUUUAUUGUUGUUCUUAGUUUUUGAUUCGAGAAACAUUCUUUUCACGCCAAACCUUGCUUGAAUCAUAAACCUAACGUGUAUUAGUGACUUUCUGGAACUUGGACCUUCGCGUAGGUUUUAAAACUUAUGUCCUUUUGAAAUCUUCUUUGGGUCAUUUGUCGCUUUGAAGUCAAGUCGCUCUAGUAGCUCUCUCAAUCAUUCCUUCUUUUGUUUAGUUGCUCUAGUUGGAAUCUUAAAGUUUUGUACUUGCUUGAAUAUAGGCUUUGGUAUGGAAAACGAGAACCUUGGUGGGACCAUUUGAUUUGCUCUGCUUUGUCGGUAAGUGUUCCAAUGCAUGUUAUUUGAUUAUGCAUGACUUGAGAAAAUGUUAUUAUUUGCUUAAGUGCUCUCCUUUGAAUGACAUGCAAAUAAGUGAAUGACUGUUGUGAUUUUCUUGUCUUGUUAAUUUGCUAAGAGUGCAUGUGUACAUUGUAUGAAUGAGUGAUAAAUGUGCAAGAAUGUAGGCCAAUGUGUACUUUAUCGCAUCUCGCAUCGGCUGAAUUGAGUUUAACCCUAUGCUGGCACCCUAUCCAAGACCUGCCUUUUGCAAGGUCGGAUCAGCUGGACAGUUUUGGGUUUAUAACUUACCAAUGUUAAGUGCAAAGCUCAAAACUCUUUGCCGAAAGGCCUUGAGUACAAUGUUUAAUGUUUAAUGUUAAAUGAGGGAAUUAUUGAUUUUUUAGAGGGCAUAACAUGAAUGUUAAAUGAGGGGAUUGUUGAUCUUUCGGAGGACAUAAUGUAGGAGUUUGGAGGUUAUAAGGUGGUAAAAUGUAGGAGAUUGUUUAUUGGCAAUUAUAAGAUGAAUGUUGCUCCAUGUGAGCCCCGUUUCCUUUUAAUGUUUAAAGUAUUGUUCAUCAUUGUAUUUACUUGAAUGAAUGAUUGAAAUGCACGCAUGAAUGUUAUUGUUUAUCAAGUAUUUUACAUUGAAUGAUUCCUAUUACAAUUAAUUGCUCCACUACCAGUUUUAAAGUUGAGUUUCGAUUUACUUGAACCUAUAUUACUUGGAAAAACGUGUUUACAUGUUAAAUUGUGUUAUUCUCUUACUUUGCUUGUUUACCUGGAAUGUUCACUGGGCGUAAGCUUAUCCCACGUUUUGUUUUCUUUAACAGGAUUCGGAUCCGAGAGUGCUCAAGAAUACAGUUAGAAUGUUUGAGGGGCUUUAAGUUUUAUUUUAAUAGAAAUAACUGUAGUGUAUAUAUUUUUAGGUUGUAGUUAAGAUAGGCGCCGAAUGAUAAAUCUUUUGUACGCGAACCUAUA